CUACGUGCCAGCAGCCGCGGUAAUACGUAGGUGGCAAGCGUUGUCCGGAAUUAUUGGGCGUAAAGCGCGCGCAGGCGGAUUGGUCAGUCUGUCUUAAAAGUUCGGGGCUUAACCCCGUGAUGGGAUGGAAACUGCCAAUCUAGAGUAUCGGAGAGGAAAGUGGAAUUCCUAGUGUAGCGGUGAAAUGCGUAGAUAUUAGGAAGAACACCAGUGGCGAAGGCGACUUUCUGGACGAAAACUGACGCUGAGGCGCGAAAGCCAGGGGAGCGAACGGGAUUAGAUACCCCGGUAGUCCUGGCCGUAAACGAUGGGUACUAGGUGUAGGAGGUAUCGACCCCUUCUGUGCCGGAGUUAACGCAAUAAGUACCCCGCCUGGGGAGUACGACCGCAAGGUUGAAACUCAAGGGAAUUGACGGGGGCCCGCACAAGCGGUGGAGUAUGUGGUUUAAUUCGACGCAACGCGAAGAACCUUACCAGGUCUUGACAUUGAUGGACAGAACUAGAGAUAG
This 509-nucleotide ribosomal RNA is filed under the name uncultured bacterium. RNAcentral's name for it is "bacterial SSU rRNA". It matches the Rfam family "Bacterial small subunit ribosomal RNA", at positions 501 to 1009 of the family's 1533-position model. The record is from RNAcentral.